RNAcentral lists this ribosomal RNA (439 nucleotides) under Vibrio cholerae. RNAcentral's name for it is "partial 23S ribosomal RNA". It matches the Rfam family "Bacterial large subunit ribosomal RNA", at positions 545 to 986 of the family's 2925-position model. Lineage: Bacteria; Pseudomonadati; Pseudomonadota; Gammaproteobacteria; Vibrionales; Vibrionaceae. The record is from RNAcentral.
AGAACCUGAAACCGUGUACGUACAAGCAGUAGGAGCACCUUCGUGGUGUGACUGCGUACCUUUUGUAUAAUGGGUCAGCGACUUAUAUUCAGUGGCAAGGUUAACCGUAUAGGGGAGCCGUAGCGAAAGCGAGUCUUAACUGGGCGCUCAGUCUCUGGAUAUAGACCCGAAACCGGGUGAUCUAGCCAUGGGCAGGUUGAAGGUUGAGUAACAUCAACUGGAGGACCGAACCGACUAAUGUUGAAAAAUUAGCGGAUGACUUGUGGCUAGGGGUGAAAGGCCAAUCAAACUCGGAGAUAGCUGGUUCUCCCCGAAAGCUAUUUAGGUAGCGCCUCGGACGAAUACUACUGGGGGUAGAGCACUGUUAAGGCUAGGGGGUCAUCCCGACUUACCAACCCUUUGCAAACUCCGAAUACCAGUAAGUACUAUCCGGGAGACA